UGGGUACGUCUUUUAAUUUAA
Molecule: non-coding RNA, 21 nt
Filed under: Caenorhabditis elegans
Lineage: Eukaryota; Metazoa; Nematoda; Chromadorea; Rhabditida; Rhabditidae
Source: RNAcentral